Molecule: ribosomal RNA, 495 nt
Filed under: uncultured bacterium
Lineage: Bacteria
Description: partial 16S ribosomal RNA
Rfam family: Bacterial small subunit ribosomal RNA
Source: RNAcentral
GACGAACGCUGGCGGCGUGCCUAAUACAUGCAAGUAGAACGCUGAAGGAGGAGCUUGCUUCUCUGGAUGAGUUGCGAACGGGUGAAUAACGCGUAGGUAACCUGCCUGGUAGCGGGGGAUAACUAUUGGAAACGAUAGCUAAUACCGCAUAAUAGUAGAUGUUGCAUGACAUUUGCUUAAAAGGUGCAAUUGCAUCACUACCAGAUGGACCUGCGUUGUAUUAGCUAGUUGGUGGGGUAACGGCUCACCAAGGCGACGAUACAUAGCCGACCUGAGAGGGUGAUCGGCCACACUGGGACUGAGACACGGCCCAGACUCCUACGGGAGGCAGCAGUAGGGAAUCUUCGGCAAUGGACGGAAGUCUGACCGAGCAACGCCGCGUGAGGGAAGAAGGGUUUCGGAUCGUAAAGCUCUGUUGUAAGAGAAGAACGAGUGUGAGAGUGGAAAGUUCACACUGUGACGGUAUCUUACCAGAAAGGGACGGCUAACUACGUG